GUUAUAGGGUCAAGCGAACAAGUGCAUGUGGUGGAUGCCUUGGCGAUCACAGGCGAUGAAGGACGCGGUAGCCUGCGAAAAGCUACGGGGAGCUGGCAAACAAGCUUUGAUCCGU
Molecule: ribosomal RNA, 115 nt
Filed under: Burkholderia sp. AU6039
Lineage: Bacteria; Pseudomonadati; Pseudomonadota; Betaproteobacteria; Burkholderiales; Burkholderiaceae
Description: partial 23S ribosomal RNA
Rfam family: Bacterial large subunit ribosomal RNA
Source: RNAcentral